This 496-nucleotide ribosomal RNA is filed under the name uncultured Arcobacter sp. Its description in RNAcentral is "bacterial SSU rRNA". It matches the Rfam family "Bacterial small subunit ribosomal RNA", at positions 559 to 1050 of the family's 1533-position model. Lineage: Bacteria; Pseudomonadati; Campylobacterota; Epsilonproteobacteria; Campylobacterales; Arcobacteraceae. The record is from RNAcentral.
CGUAAAGAGCAUGUAGGCGGAUUGAUAAGUUUGAAGUGAAAUCCUAUAGCUUAACUAUAGAACUGCUUUGAAAACUGUUAAUCUAGAAUGUGGGAGAGGUAGAUGGAAUUUCUGGUGUAGGGGUAAAAUCCGUAGAGAUCAGAAGGAAUACCGAUUGCGAAGGCGAUCUACUGGAACAUUAUUGACGCUGAGAUGCGAAAGCGUGGGGAGCAAACAGGAUUAGAUACCCUGGUAGUCCACGCCCUAAACGAUGUACACUAGUUGUUGUGAGACUUGAUCUUGCAGUAAUGCAGUUAACACAUUAAGUGUACCGCCUGGGGAGUACGGUCGCAAGAUUAAAACUCAAAGGAAUAGACGGGGACCCGCACAAGCGGUGGAGCAUGUGGUUUAAUUCGACGAUACACGAAGAACCUUACCUGGACUUGACAUAGUAAGAACUUUCUAGAGAUAGAUUGGUGUCUGCUUGCAGAAACUUAUAUACAGGUGCUGCACGGCU